CCCGUUUGGGAUCAUUGCGGUUUGGGUUGUAAACCUCUUUUCUCAGGGAAGAAGAAAGUGACGGUACCUGAGGAAUCAGCCUCGGGCAAAUUCGUGCCCGCCACCGCGGUAAGACGGAGGAGGCCAACGUUAUCUGGAAUUAUUGGGCGUAAAGGGUCCGUAAGUGGUGAUUCAAGUUUGCUGUCAAAACCCAGGGCUUAACUCUGGAGAGGCAGUGGAAACUGAAUAAGUAGGGUGCGGCAGGGGCAAAGGGAAUUCCCGGUGUAGCGGUGAAAUUUGUUGUUUUUGGGGAGGACCCCGGUGGGGGAAGCGGUUUGCUGGGCCGCGAAUGACACUCACAAGACGAA
RNAcentral lists this ribosomal RNA (347 nucleotides) under Lyngbya sp. NTMS10. RNAcentral describes it as "bacterial SSU rRNA". It matches the Rfam family "Bacterial small subunit ribosomal RNA", at positions 398 to 757 of the family's 1533-position model. Lineage: Bacteria; Bacillati; Cyanobacteriota; Cyanophyceae; Oscillatoriales; Microcoleaceae. The record is from RNAcentral.